AUUGAACGCUGGCGGCAGGCCUAACACAUGCAAGUCGAGCGAGCGGCGGACGGGUGAGUAAUGUAUGGGGACUGCCCGAUCGAGGGGGCUCACUACUGGACAAGGUGCCUAAUAACGCAUACUAACGGAUAACCCAUAGGGGGUUAGCUAGUAGGUGGGGUAAGGGCUCACCUGGGCGACGAACUCUAGCUGGUCCGAGAGGAUGAUUAGCCACACUAGGACUGUGACACGGCCCAGACUCCGACGGAGGAGUCGGUGGGGAGUAGUGCACAAGGGGCGCAGGCCUGAUGCAGCCAUGCCUCGUGUAUGAAGAGGGCCUUAGGUGUGUAAAGUACUUUCAGCGGGGAGGCGUUACCCGCAGAAGAAGCACCGGCUAACUCGGUGCCAGCCGCCGCGGUAAUUC
Molecule: ribosomal RNA, 403 nt
Filed under: uncultured bacterium
Lineage: Bacteria
Description: partial 16S ribosomal RNA
Rfam family: Bacterial small subunit ribosomal RNA
Source: RNAcentral